UACGAAGGGGACUAGCGUUGUUCGGAAUUACUGGGCGUAAAGCGCACGUAGGCGGAUUCGUAAGUCAGGGGUGAAAUCCCGGGGCUCAACCUCGCAACUGCCUUUGAUACUGCGGAUCUCGAGUCCGAUAGAGGUGGGUGGAAUUCCUAGUGUAGAGGUGAAAUUCGUAGAUAUUAGGAAGAACACCGGUGGCGAAGGCGGCCCACUGGAUCGGUACUGACGCUGAGGUGCGAAAGCGUGGGGAGCAAACAGG
This 253-nucleotide ribosomal RNA is filed under the name uncultured bacterium. RNAcentral's name for it is "partial 16S ribosomal RNA". It matches the Rfam family "Bacterial small subunit ribosomal RNA", at positions 524 to 776 of the family's 1533-position model. The record is from RNAcentral.